GCGAGUAUGGCCCUCACGGGUCUAAUCCACCAUAAACACCUUUGUGAACCAGUCAGGGGGACUCGGCCGUGAAAGCCCAGGCGAUUAGCGGAAGGGCCCUCCUUCGCAAGCCCGUUUAGAAGUCUUGAAAGUACUUUUGUAUAAUCUAGUA
RNAcentral lists this unclassified non-coding RNA (151 nucleotides) under soil metagenome. RNAcentral's name for it is "partial internal transcribed spacer 1". The record is from RNAcentral.